GAUGUUCUAACGUGGACCCGUAAUCCGGGUUGCGGACAGUGUCUGGUGGGUAGUUUGACUGGGGCGGUCUCCUCCUAAAGAGUAACGGAGGAGCACGAAGGUUGGCUAAUCCUGGUCGGACAUCAGGAGGUUAGUGCAAUGGCAUAAGCCAGCUUGACUGCGAGCGUGACGGCGCGAGCAGGUGCGAAAGCAGGUCAUAGUGAUCCGGUGGUUCUGAAUGGAAGGGCCAUCGCUCAACGGAUAAAAGGUACUCCGGGGAUAACAGGCUGAUACCGCCCAAGAGUUCAUAUCGACGGCGGUGUUUGGCACCUCGAUGUCGGCUCAUCACAUCCUGGGGCUGAAGUAGGUCCCAAGGGUAUGGCUGUUCGCCAUUUAAAGUGGUACGCGAGCUGGGUUUAGAACGUCGUGAGACAGUUCGGUCCCUAUCUGCCGUGGGCGCUGGAGAACUGAGGGGGGCUGCUCCUAGUACGAGAGGACCGGAGUGGACGCAUCACUGGUGUUCGGGUUGUCAUGCCAAUGGCACUGCCCGGUAGCUAAAUGCGGAAGAGAUAAGUGCUGAAAGCAUCUAAGCACGAAACUUGCCCCGAGAUGAGUUCUCCCUGAGACUUAGAGUCUCCUGAAGGAACGUUGAAGACGACGACGUUGAUAGGCCGGGUGUGUAAGCGCAGCGAUGCGUUGAGCUAACCGGUACUAAUGAACCGUGAGGCUUAACCUU
RNAcentral lists this ribosomal RNA (715 nucleotides) under Salmonella enterica subsp. enterica serovar Thompson. RNAcentral describes it as "partial 23S ribosomal RNA". It matches the Rfam family "Bacterial large subunit ribosomal RNA", at positions 2216 to 2925 of the family's 2925-position model. Lineage: Bacteria; Pseudomonadati; Pseudomonadota; Gammaproteobacteria; Enterobacterales; Enterobacteriaceae. RNAcentral also lists the same sequence under 4 other names. The record is from RNAcentral.